This 183-nucleotide ribosomal RNA is filed under the name uncultured bacterium. RNAcentral describes it as "partial 16S ribosomal RNA". It matches the Rfam family "Bacterial small subunit ribosomal RNA", at positions 1318 to 1500 of the family's 1533-position model. The record is from RNAcentral.
GCAUGAAGUUGGAAUCGCUAGUAAUCGCGGAUCAGCAUGCCGCGGUGAAUACGUUCCCGGGCCUUGUACACACCGCCCGUCACACCAUGAGAGUCGGGAACACCCGAAGUCCGUAGCCUGACCGCAAGGGGGGCGCGGCCGAAGGUGGGUUCGAUAAUUGGGGUGAAGUCGUAACAAGGUACC